RNAcentral lists this transfer RNA (73 nucleotides) under Ovis aries (sheep). It matches the Rfam family "tRNA". Rfam says of the family: Transfer RNA (tRNA) molecules are approximately 80 nucleotides in length. Their secondary structure includes four short double-helical elements and three loops (D, anti-codon, and T loops). The record is from Rfam by way of RNAcentral. Lineage: Eukaryota; Metazoa; Chordata; Mammalia; Artiodactyla; Bovidae.
UCCCCGGUGGUUCAGUGGCUAAGAUGCUGAGCUCCCAAUGUAGGGGGCCUGGGUUCGAUUCCUAGUCAGGGAA